AAUCCAUAGGUUAAUGAGGCGAACCGGGGGAACUGAAACAUCUAAGUACCCCGAGGAAAAGAAAUCAACCGAGAUUCCCCCAGUAGCGGCGAGCGAACGGGGAGGAGCCCAGAGCCUGAAUCAGCAUGUGUGUUAGUGGAAGCGUCUGGAAAGGCGCGCGAUACAGGGUGACAGCCCCGUACACAAAAGCGCAUGUGCUGUGAGCUCGAUGAGUAGGGCGGGACACGUGGUAUCCUGUCUGAAUAUGGGGGGACCAUCCUCCAAGGCUAAAUACUCCUGACUGACCGAUAGUGAACCAGUACCGUGAGGGAAAGGCGAAAAGAACCCCGGCGAGGGGAGUGAAAAAGAACCUGAAACCGUGUACGUACAAGCAGUGGGAGCACCCUUCGGGGUGUGACUGCGUACCUUUUGUAUAAUGGGUCAGCGACUUAUAUUCUGUAGCAAGGUUAACCGAAUAGGGGAGCCGGAGGGAAACCGAGUCUUAAUUGGGCGUUAAGUUGCAGGGUAUAGACCCGAAACCCGGUGAUCUAGCCAUGGGCAGGUUGAAGGUUGGGUAACACUAACUGGAGGACCGAACCGACUAAUGUUGAAAAAUUAGCGGAUGACCUGUGGCUGGGGGUGAAAGGCCAAUCAAACCGGGAGAUAGCUGGUUCUCCCCGAAAGCU
This 665-nucleotide ribosomal RNA is filed under the name Salmonella enterica subsp. enterica serovar Indiana. Its description in RNAcentral is "partial 23S ribosomal RNA". It matches the Rfam family "Bacterial large subunit ribosomal RNA", at positions 161 to 867 of the family's 2925-position model. The record is from RNAcentral. Lineage: Bacteria; Pseudomonadati; Pseudomonadota; Gammaproteobacteria; Enterobacterales; Enterobacteriaceae.